RNAcentral lists this small nuclear RNA (106 nucleotides) under Tupaia belangeri (northern tree shrew). The record is from RNAcentral. Lineage: Eukaryota; Metazoa; Chordata; Mammalia; Scandentia; Tupaiidae.
GUCUGAAAUUCGAACGGACAAUGACUGGAACAGAGAAUGAAUGCAGAGAAAAUUAGCAUGGCCUCUACGCAAGCAUGACACAAAUUCAUCAAUGUCACAUUCUUUU